AGUUUGCUGAGAGUUGUAUGUAUACUCCGGCUUACAGAACCUACCGGUGAAGCGACAAAGACAAUAAUACCCCCAUAUUAUUUAUUUUACCUGAAAAUGUAUGCAGUUUAUCUUAUGAACAUGACAACAAAUGUUCGUAUUUGGAAAGCCUUGAACUCACAAUCAGACGGUGACCACCUUGGCCUUAUUAAAAAAGUGUUGCGGCCUUGUCAUGAUGGUGGAGAAAACUGCAAAUUUUGUAGUCAAUAUUCUUACACUAAAGAAGACAUAAUUCGUUCUCAAAAUUUGAAUGAUUCACAGGAAGAAGCUGUUUCAAGCUGUGUUGGUAUCACAGGAAGACAUAAUUCCUUCUUGCUUUCUACCAUCAAACUCUGA
Molecule: non-coding RNA, 375 nt
Organism: Vicia faba (fava bean)
Lineage: Eukaryota; Viridiplantae; Streptophyta; Magnoliopsida; Fabales; Fabaceae
Source: the annotation of a GenBank genome assembly